UACGUAGGGGGCAAGCGUUGUCCGGAUUUAUUGGGCGUAAAGAGCGUGUAGGCGGCCAAGCAGGUCCGCUGUGAAAACUCGAGGCUCAACCUCGAGACGUCGGUGGAAACCGUUUGGCUAGAGUCCGGAAGAGGAGAGUGGAAUUCCCGGUGUAGCGGUGAAAUGCGCAGAUAUCGGGAAGAACACCCGUGGCGAAGGCGGCUCACUGGCUCAUUACUGACGCUCAGGCGCGACAGCGUGGGGAUCAAACAGG
Molecule: ribosomal RNA, 253 nt
Filed under: uncultured bacterium
Lineage: Bacteria
Description: partial 16S ribosomal RNA
Rfam family: Bacterial small subunit ribosomal RNA
Source: RNAcentral